GGUUCCGUAGUGUGUGGUUAUCACGCCCGCUUCACACGCGAAGGUCUCCGGUUCGAUCCCGGACGGAACCA
RNAcentral lists this transfer RNA (71 nucleotides) under Trichonephila inaurata madagascariensis. It matches the Rfam family "tRNA". Rfam says of the family: Transfer RNA (tRNA) molecules are approximately 80 nucleotides in length. Their secondary structure includes four short double-helical elements and three loops (D, anti-codon, and T loops). Lineage: Eukaryota; Metazoa; Arthropoda; Arachnida; Araneae; Nephilidae. The record is from Rfam by way of RNAcentral.